Molecule: ribosomal RNA, 244 nt
Filed under: uncultured bacterium
Lineage: Bacteria
Description: partial 16S ribosomal RNA
Rfam family: Bacterial small subunit ribosomal RNA
Source: RNAcentral
GUGAGGUGGAGCAAAACUCAAAACUUGUCUCAGUUCGGAUUGUAGGCUGAAACUCGCCUACAUGAAGCUGGAGUUGCUAGUAAUCGCGAAUCAGCAUGUCGCGGUGAAUACGUUCCCGGGCCUUGUACACACCGCCCGUCACACCAUGAGAGUUGGCAAUACCCAACGUACGUGAUCUAACCCGCAAGGGAGGAAGCGUCCUAAGGUAGGGUCAGCGAUUGGGGUGAAGUCGUAACAAGGUAAC